RNAcentral lists this transfer RNA (74 nucleotides) under Pseudenhygromyxa salsuginis. RNAcentral describes it as "tRNA-Pro". It matches the Rfam family "tRNA". From Rfam's summary of the family: Transfer RNA (tRNA) molecules are approximately 80 nucleotides in length. Their secondary structure includes four short double-helical elements and three loops (D, anti-codon, and T loops). RNAcentral also lists the same sequence under 1 other name. The record is from RNAcentral. Lineage: Bacteria; Pseudomonadati; Myxococcota; Nannocystales; Nannocystaceae.
CGGGAUGUAGCGCAGCCUGGUAGCGUGCCUGUUUCGGAUACAGGAGGUCGCCGGUUCAAAUCCGGCCAUCCCGA